RNAcentral lists this long non-coding RNA (215 nucleotides) under Podarcis lilfordi (Lilford's wall lizard). Lineage: Eukaryota; Metazoa; Chordata; Lepidosauria; Squamata; Lacertidae. The record is from RNAcentral.
GGGGAGUCUUCUCUUCUCAUGAGGUGGCCAAAGUCUUGGAGCCUCAGCUUCACGAUCUGUCCUUCCAGUGAGCACUCAGGGCUGAUUUCCUUAAGAAUGGAUAGGUUUGAUCUUCUUGCAGUCCAUGGGACUCUCAAGAGUCUCCUCCAGCACCAGAAUUCAAAAGCAUCCAUUCUUCGGCGAUCAGCCUUCUUUAUGGUCCAGCUCUCACUUCC